RNAcentral lists this long non-coding RNA (280 nucleotides) under Rosa chinensis. RNAcentral's name for it is "sRNA RchiOBHm_Chr2g0105631". The record is from RNAcentral. Lineage: Eukaryota; Viridiplantae; Streptophyta; Magnoliopsida; Rosales; Rosaceae.
AUGAAUUUUCUUUGGUUGUGAUGUUGAACAUGGUUGAUGGAUUUGUCAUGUUUGUAGUGUUGGGUGAAAACUCUUGGUAAAGGGCUAUUAUGAAUUAUUUGUUAGGAAGUAGAGAGAAUUUGAGAUUGUUAGAGUUGAAAUUGUGAUUUUGCAAAGGAGAGAAAAAUUAAGAAAGAAUGUGGAAUUGUUCUAUUUUGUGGAGGAGUUUGGAGUGGAGAUUGUGUUUUGGAAAAGAGAAUUUAGAGAGGAGUUGAAAUUUAGAGAUGGAAAUGUGAGUGGA